AUUGAACGCUGGCGGCAUGCUUUACACAUGCAAGUCGAACGGCAGCACGGGAGUAAUUCUGGUGGCGAGUGGCGAACGGGUGAGUAAUAUAUCGGAACGUGCCUAAUUGUGGGGGAUAGCUCGGCGAAAGCCGGAUUAAUACCGCGUAAGAUCUAAGGAUGAAAGCAGGGGACCUUCGGGCCUUGCGCAAUUAGAGCGGCCGAUAUCAGAUUAGGUUGUUGGUGGGGUAAAGGCCUACCAAGCCUGCGAUCUGUAGCUGGUCUGAGAGGACGAUCAGCCACACUGGGACUGAGACACGGCCCAGACUCCUACGGGAGGCAGCAGUGGGGAAUUUUGGACAAUGGGCGCAAGCCUGAUCCAGCAAUGCCGCGUGCAGGAUGAAGGCCUUCGGGUUGUAAACUGCUUUUGUACGGAACGAAAAGUUCAUUGAUAAUACCAGUGAAUGAUGACGG
Molecule: ribosomal RNA, 452 nt
Filed under: uncultured Comamonadaceae bacterium
Lineage: Bacteria; Pseudomonadati; Pseudomonadota; Betaproteobacteria; Burkholderiales; Comamonadaceae
Description: bacterial SSU rRNA
Rfam family: Bacterial small subunit ribosomal RNA
Source: RNAcentral